Long non-coding RNA from Momordica charantia (bitter melon), 1161 nucleotides. RefSeq lists it as uncharacterized. NCBI's taxonomy places the organism in Eukaryota, Viridiplantae, Streptophyta, Magnoliopsida, Cucurbitales, Cucurbitaceae. The record is from RefSeq and is a predicted model, not a curated record.
UCACUGGCUCCAUCAAUAUAUAUUUUAUCAGAAACGGCCUCUGUCCUUUCAAGUGGCGACGAACGAAACCAAACCCUAGAUUAGAUCGUUGGCAGGCACUGGGAGGACAAGAAAGAGCAGAAUUGAAAGAAGGCAACUCCCACUUGAUUCGAGGCGCUCUUCGUUUAGAAGACACGGCUUUCUUGGCUCUUGGCACGGAGUUCAUGUACGAUCAUCUUCUUCUCGACGAUGGUCUGUUCUGAUUUCCUUGUGGAUGCUGCAGUUGGGGAAUCGAACUUUCAAGGAGGAUAUAUUCGCAGGGUUUCGUCAAGGCUCCGGCUCUUUCGACUUUCACCAUAUAGAAAUAGCAUCUGUUUGAGACUGAAGGCGAUAUUGAGGCCGAUUGAGGAUUUUCCGCCAUGGACGUCCGGGGAGAUCUCCUUCAGAGAGAAAUCUUCAUGUGGCUUAUGUGGGGUUGACUGGUUUUUCUUCCCCAUCGAUGACGAUGCUUCAGAAACUGAUUGAAAUUCCAAUUGCCGCAAAAUAAGGAGAAACUCAGAUUUUGUGGAAACGGAGAAUUAAAAACAGAGCAUUUUCUUUUAUGAAACAGAGGAAUCGUAUAAGAAAGAACUGUACCAGAGAGAGAGGGGGAGCAGAGAAGAUCGAGAGAGUUGGUUUGAAAGAUUGGAGACAUGGAAGGUCGUUUGGAGCUUGGGGGAGAGACAUGGAUAUAGAAAAUUUGGAACUGGUAAAUGGUGGGGAAGGGACAGAGAGGAACAGGGAGGGACAGAGAGAAGAAACGGGAAAGAAAUCGAACUCUGCAAUCCGCAAUUCCCGUUUCUUUGCGCUGAGGAUUCCAAGAUGUGUGCGGCCUAGUUCUCCCUUGAAUAACAUUUUUGCAUUGUUGUGUCCUAAUAAGAAUCUUUGCCUUGUCAGUGGCUUCAUCAAGGAAUAGAAGCAUGGAAUAUCCCUGGAUGUUGAAAAAAAUCAGUAAUGUCAUUCUCAAUUUUCCUUUAUUUGAUUAAAAAUAUUCUUAUUUGUUACUACUCCAAAUUAUUAUCUUUGUGCUGGUGCUUGGUUAUCUUUUUGCAGAAUAAUGUUUCUUGUGAAAAUGACAUUCUAGGCAUAUUUAGAGUUUGGAAAAAAUCAAGGGUUGGAAACUAUUGUUACUAUAUUUUGUUG